CCCUCCGCCCGGUGGCCUCCGAGAGAGAGCGCGCGGGAGACCCGGUCCCGGGGCGGGGCGGAGAAGCGGCUCCGGUCCGACCCCCCGCGAGUUCCCACACCUAGCGGGCCAGGGGCGCGCUGCGCGGCGUCCUCCCCCCGCCAACCCGACCCCGCGGCCGCCUUCCCCCGCCGGGUUCCCCGGGCGGCGCGCCCGCAGGCCCGCGGCCCUUACCUGCAGCUCGAUUUCCACAGCUUCCACACUGCCUGUGUUUCUUGAUAGUGCCAACGCUGCUGUGGACCAGGAAGUCCCUUCAUGGCCAGUCAUCCUCAGCUCACUUCUCCAGCAUCUCCAGAGCUCACUAACUUUGUACGCUCCGACGCCUUUCAUUUCCACAACCAUACUACUUCUGCCUUCUUCCCAGGAGGACCUGAGGUGACCUGUGAAGAUGGUUUGCUACUCCAUUGACUCAGAAACCCCUCCCACGUCAUGUAAAUCAAGAGGUUCAAGUUUUUGUGUUCACUUUAAGAACACCCAUGAAAACGUCCCAGGCCACUAAGGGUGUGCAUAUCCUGAAGCAUGGGACUUUCAAGAAGCCAUGUGUGCCUUUCUGGCAUUAUAAUGGAGGAGUCUGCGGGUGCGUCCAGGCCAAAUGGUGGGGCUGGACAAAGAGCCAGUGGCCCAAAAUGAACAGCACGUGCUUUAAAAUGCAGAGAGUAAUCCUGAAGUUAAGGGUUUAAAUAUAGAUUCGCUGGCAUUGAACAUAUCUAGUGAACAAAGUCCCUAUGAUGCACCCAUGAACAACAAAGCUCAUGACCAGAUUAGACCACACAUGAA
Long non-coding RNA from Mastomys coucha (southern multimammate mouse), 816 nucleotides. RefSeq lists it as uncharacterized. The transcript has 3 exons. Lineage: Eukaryota; Metazoa; Chordata; Mammalia; Rodentia; Muridae. The record is from RefSeq and is a predicted model, not a curated record.